RNAcentral lists this ribosomal RNA (462 nucleotides) under uncultured bacterium. Its description in RNAcentral is "partial 16S ribosomal RNA". It matches the Rfam family "Bacterial small subunit ribosomal RNA", at positions 28 to 507 of the family's 1533-position model. The record is from RNAcentral.
GACGAACGCUGGCGGCGUGCUUAACACAUGCAAGUCGAGCGGUAAGGCCUUUCGGGGUACACGAGCGGCGAACGGGUGAGUAACACGUGGGUGAUCUGCCCUGCACUUCGGGAUAAGCCUGGGAAACUGGGUCUAAUACCGGAUAUGACCUCCUAUCGCAUGGUGGGUGGUGGAAGGAUUUAUCGGUGCAGGAUGGGCCCGCGGCCUAUCAGCUUGUUGGUGGGGUAAUGGCCUACCAAGGCGACGACGGGUAGCCGACCUGAGAGGGUGACCGGCCACACUGGGACUGAGACACGGCCCAGACUCCUACGGGAGGCAGCAGUGGGGAAUAUUGCACAAUGGGCGAAAGCCUGAUGCAGCGACGCCGCGUGAGGGAUGACGGCCUUCGGGUUGUAAACCUCUUUCAGCAGGGACGAAGCGCAAGUGACGGUACCUGCAGAAGAAGCACCGGCUAACUACGUG